This 254-nucleotide ribosomal RNA is filed under the name uncultured bacterium. Its description in RNAcentral is "partial 16S ribosomal RNA". It matches the Rfam family "Bacterial small subunit ribosomal RNA", at positions 101 to 353 of the family's 1533-position model. The record is from RNAcentral.
AACGGGUGAGUAAUACAUAAGUAACCUGCCUUAUACAGGGGGAUAACAGUCAGAAAUGGCUGCUAAUACCGCAUAAGCGCACAGAGCUGCAUGGCUCAGUGUGAAAAACUCCGGUGGUAUAAGAUGGACCCGCGUUGGAUUAGCUAGUUGGUGGGGUAACGGCCCACCAAGGCGACGAUCCAUAGCCGGCCUGAGAGGGUGAACGGCCACAUUGGGACUGAGACACGGCCCAGACUCCUACGGGAGGCAGCAUG